This 775-nucleotide ribosomal RNA is filed under the name Arthrobacter sp. 2CB5. RNAcentral's name for it is "bacterial SSU rRNA". It matches the Rfam family "Bacterial small subunit ribosomal RNA", at positions 68 to 850 of the family's 1533-position model. Lineage: Bacteria; Bacillati; Actinomycetota; Actinomycetes; Micrococcales; Micrococcaceae. The record is from RNAcentral.
AUGACUUUUGUGCUUGCACAGAAUGAUUAGUGGCGAACGGGUGAGUAACACGUGAGUAACCUGCCCUUGACUUCGGGAUAAGCCUGGGAAACUGGGUCUAAUACCGGAUAUGCACCGUGGACCGCAUGGUUCUUGGUGGAAAGAUUUUUUGGUCAGGGAUGGACUCGCGGCCUAUCAGCUUGUUGGUGAGGUAAUGGCUCACCAAGGCGACGACGGGUAGCCGGCCUGAGAGGGUGACCGGCCACACUGGGACUGAGACACGGCCCAGACUCCUACGGGAGGCAGCAGUGGGGAAUAUUGCACAAUGGGCGAAAGCCUGAUGCAGCGACGCCGCGUGAGGGAUGACGGCCUUCGGGUUGUAAACCUCUUUCAGUAGGGAAGAAGCGAAAGUGACGGUACCUGCAGAAGAAGCGCCGGCUAACUACGUGCCAGCAGCCGCGGUAAUACGUAGGGCGCAAGCGUUAUCCGGAAUUAUUGGGCGUAAAGAGCUCGUAGGCGGUUUGUCGCGUCUAUCGUGAAAGUCCGAGGCUCAACCUCGGAUCUGCGGUGGGUACGGGCAGACUAGAGUGAUGUAGGGGAGACUGGAAUUCCUGGUGUAGCGGUGAANUGCGCAGAUAUCAGGAGGAACACCGAUGGCGAAAGGCAGGUCUCUGGGCAUUAACUGACGCUGAGGAGCGAAAGCAUGGGGAGCGAACAGGAUUAGAUACCCUGGUAGUCCAUGCCGUAAACGUUGGGCACUAGGUGUGGGGGACAUUCCCACGUUUUCCGCGCCGUA